UUGUUUCAAUCCAGACUCCUGCUUCUAACAACCAAUAUAAAUCAAUGCAUUUGUGUGACAUUGGCAAAUUUAAAGCAAAAUGAGAAGAUUCUGGACUCCUUUCAACUGUUUCACCAACCAUAUAAAAGCAAGGAAUCCAUAAAUUGCUUCUUCAGGACAGUGGUCACGCCGCUGCUGCCUUCUUUGGCUGCAGCAGCUCGGGCACCUCUUCGAGACGCCUUAUUGCGCUGCCCCGGCAACCGUCACCAGGGAAACCAGCCACGCCGCUGCGUGACGUCCUCACGAGUCUACGGCAACCAAGAGGGCGCCGGGAGUUCGGAAAGGGACAGAGGCGCAGAUGGUCCGGGUUGAGGCGAUACUCUUUCUGGGCUAAGUCCUCCCAUUUUUCGGUUUCUUGCCUUAACUGACCUUCUCUGGAAAGUCUUCUCUGACUCUCCAAGUUUAUGCAGCUGACCCAGAUCUCUGUCGGAAAGUUGAACAGGUACAAAAAGAGGCACCUAUAACCAGAUACUCAAAGCCAGUUUGGAAAACACGAAGUAGUCUGUAAACUUGGUAAGAUACUACUGAAGACCUUUCCAAAUGCAUGGGAACCUAGAAGAGGCAUAAGGGAACUGGAGCUGCCCAGCAUCACGUAAUGUAAAAGAUUUAAGGAUCUUCACAGCCCGUCAUUUUGGUCACUGGAACUACUAUCUAACAACAAUGGUUUCAAAUUUUGAUUUUUGCAUCCGUUACCUGUCAACCUAUUUAAAA
This is a long non-coding RNA of Balaenoptera acutorostrata (minke whale), 750 nucleotides long. RefSeq lists it as uncharacterized. The record is from RefSeq and is a predicted model, not a curated record. The transcript has 4 exons. NCBI's taxonomy places the organism in Eukaryota, Metazoa, Chordata, Mammalia, Artiodactyla, Balaenopteridae.